Molecule: ribosomal RNA, 484 nt
Filed under: uncultured bacterium
Lineage: Bacteria
Description: partial 16S ribosomal RNA
Rfam family: Bacterial small subunit ribosomal RNA
Source: RNAcentral
AUUGAACGCUGGCGGCAGGCCUAACACAUGCAAGUCGAGCGGAUGAAGGGAGCUUGCUCCUGGAUUCAGCGGCGGACGGGUGAGUAAUGCCUAGGAAUCUGCCUGGUAGUGGGGGAUAACGUCCGGAAACGGGCGCUAAUACCGCAUACGUCCUGAGGGAGAAAGUGGGGGAUCUUCGGACCUCACGCUAUCAGAUGAGCCUAGGUCGGAUUAGCUAGUUGGUGGGGUAAGGGCCUACCAAGGCGACGAUCCGUAACUGGUCUGAGAGGAUGAUCAGUCACACUGGAACUGAGACACGGUCCAGACUCCUACGGGAGGCAGCAGUGGGGAAUAUUGGACAAUGGGCGAAAGCCUGAUCCAGCCAUGCCGCGUGUGUGAAGAAGGUCUUCGGAUUGUAAAGCACUUUAAGUUGGGAGGAAGGGCGGUAAGUUAAUACCUUGCUGUAUUGACGUUACCAACAGAAUAAGCACCGGCUAACUUCGUG